UUUUUAUAUGAGAGUUUGAUCCUGGCUCAGGAUGAACGCUGGCGGCGUGCCUAACACAUGCAAGUCGAGCGAUUCACUUCGGUGAAGAGCGGCGGACGGGUGAGUAACGCGUGGGUAACCUGCCUCAUACACAUGGAUAACAUACCGAAAGGUAUGCUAAUACAGGAUAACAUAAGAGAUUCGCAUGUUUCUCUUAUCAAAGCUCCGGCG
This 210-nucleotide ribosomal RNA is filed under the name Terrisporobacter othiniensis. Its description in RNAcentral is "partial 16S ribosomal RNA". It matches the Rfam family "Bacterial small subunit ribosomal RNA", at positions 1 to 217 of the family's 1533-position model. Lineage: Bacteria; Bacillati; Bacillota; Clostridia; Peptostreptococcales; Peptostreptococcaceae. The record is from RNAcentral.